This 430-nucleotide ribosomal RNA is filed under the name bacterium. RNAcentral's name for it is "partial 16S ribosomal RNA". It matches the Rfam family "Bacterial small subunit ribosomal RNA", at positions 355 to 776 of the family's 1533-position model. The record is from RNAcentral.
UGGGGAAUAUUGGACAAUGGGCGCAAGCCUGAUCCAGCCAUGCCGCGUGUGUGAAGAAGGCCUUUUGGUUGUAAAGCACUUUAAGCGAGGAGGAGGCUACUUGGAUUAAUACUCUAGGAUAGUGGACGUUACUCGCAGAAUAAGCACCGGCUAACUCUGUGCCAGCAGCCGCGGUAAUACAGAGGGUGCGAGCGUUAAUCGGAUUUACUGGGCGUAAAGCGUGCGUAGGCGGCUUCUUAAGUCGGAUGUGAAAUCCCUGAGCUUAACUUAGGAGUUGCAUUCGAUACUGGGAAGCUAGAGUAUGGGAGAGGAUGGUAGAAUUCCAGGUGUAGCGGUGAAAUGCGUAGAGAUCUGGAGGAAUACCGAUGGCGAAGGCAGCCAUCUGGCCUAAUACUGACGCUGAGGUACGAAAGCAUGGGGAGCAAACAGG